Molecule: ribosomal RNA, 522 nt
Filed under: uncultured bacterium
Lineage: Bacteria
Description: bacterial SSU rRNA
Rfam family: Bacterial small subunit ribosomal RNA
Source: RNAcentral
AAUAGAUACCCCGGUAGUCCACGCCGUAAACGAUGAGUGCUAAGUGUUAGGGGGUUUCCGCCCCUUAGUGCUGCAGCUAACGCAUUAAGCACUCCGCCUGGGGAGUACGGCCGCAAGGCUGAAACUCAAAGGAAUUGACGGGGGCCCGCACAAGCGGUGGAGCAUGUGGUUUAAUUCGAAGCAACGCGAAGAACCUUACCAGGUCUUGACAUCCUCUGACAACUCUAGAGAUAGAGCGUUCCCCUUCGGGGGACAGAGUGACAGGUGGUGCAUGGUUGUCGUCAGCUCGUGUCGUGAGAUGUUGGGUUAAGUCCCGCAACGAGCGCAACCCUUGAUCUUAGUUGCCAGCAUUCAGUUGGGCACUCUAAGGUGACUGCCGGUGACAAACCGGAGGAAGGUGGGGAUGACGUCAAAUCAUCAUGCCCCUUAUGACCUGGGCUACACACGUGCUACAAUGGACGGUACAAAGAGUCGCGAGACCGCGAGGUGGAGCUAAUCUCAUAAAACCGUUCUCAGUUCGGA